RNAcentral lists this long non-coding RNA (2666 nucleotides) under Nicotiana tabacum (common tobacco). RNAcentral describes it as "long non-coding RNA (NTAB_LNC013469)". Lineage: Eukaryota; Viridiplantae; Streptophyta; Magnoliopsida; Solanales; Solanaceae. The record is from RNAcentral.
UGGGAUGGGUCAAAAUAAAAGGCUUUAGUCUAGGUUUUCAGCUCCAUAGUCCAAAUACGCAGUCUCCGUUGGCCAGGGAAUUUUCUUCCCAAAGCCAUCAUUGAUUCAUCGAGAGAAAUCAUUGCCUGAGGAGGAUCAACAGGAAACAGUAAGUGUUUUAUUUAUUUACUUAUUUGGGAUAACUUCUUUUUUUUUCAAUUUAGAAUAUAAUCAGAUUUGAUCCUUUGAAAAUUCUUUAAGAUCUGCGGUAUUCUUUGUACUUCAAUAGAAUUUCAAGAUAUUCUGUUUGCAAGUCAAUUAUUCCUAUUUAGAAGAUCAGCAAAACGUCAAUCCACAUGUUUUACUCUGCAAAUACAUAAGGGCAGCCUCGUGCACAAAUCAUGUGCAGGGCCUACUUUGGAAAUGCAUAUUUAAAUAAUUAAAUCGUGGUUCAGGGAAAUUUUCAACUCUAGAUGUAUCAUUUGUGAAGGGAACAAUACAGAAUUAGCACUUAUCAUUGCAACCCUUAUUCAAAUGUAGAUAUUAAUUUCCGGAGACGGAAGACAAGAUGCCAUCGGCAGUGUUCUUGUUGUGGCUGCAAAGUUUGGAUAAGGCUAAGAAUGGCCUCCACUAAACGAGCUUGCUGAGCUUGAAAUGCUAAAAUCUAAGGGCCUCAACAUGAUGUCCAACCAAUAUGUUAAUUUCAAUAGAGAUUGAUGAAGCUGAGUUGACUUUUAAAAAAUUGGAAAUAUUUAUGCAGAUGUGGACGAGGGAAAAGUGUUGUGAUCGCAUGAGUUUAUUUGAUAAUGAUUUGAGGGAAUUCCUUGUUUUGCGGGAGCAACAGUCGUCCAAUUUACGUCCCAAAUGUUUCUAAUAUCAACUUCAACUCAGACAAAUAUGUGAUUUGAUUUGUCUGCAUUGAAUCAUUAUUAAAUUUACAUCUUUAUCUGAGUUGAUAAGAUGAUCCCUAAGACAUGUAUACUCCAUGAAAGAUUUCUCAAGAUGGUCUCCAUUGCAUCGGUGGCUUCAAAACAAGGGAUUUUCAUCAGUUCAUUUUGUAACUUGAUAUUGAAUGACUUGUGUUGAGAACGACAGUUUUCUUUUUCCAAAUUUGUAUUAAUAUUUGAUUUUUGAGAAGUUAACUCCAGCUCCAUCAAGCUCUCUUGCACUUUGAACGUGAAGAUAUGUUGAGUUCCUUAGUUUUUGUCAUCUCUUUUGAUGUAAACAUUUGCAAACGAUUACUUACUCGCAACAGGCUAUCUGUGCUCACCAUCACAUGAGAAAGCUCAGCUCACCAACUGACUCGUCAAUAUAAGGUACCUGUCAUAAUUGCUGACUUUUCAGCUUUUACUUCUUAAUUAGUUAUUCUUUUUAAUUCUUGUUGAUCUCAAAAAGGGGGAGGAUGGUAACAGUUUAUUACAAUUAAAUGAAGAAGCUAAAAAGAAGAAUGACAAAGAAUUCCUCCAUUAAUAGAAGUAUUGUGGAAAAGCUGACUAUAUUGCUUUCAGUGGCUGGUGAACCUUUCAAAACUGGCAAAUUACUUUUAUCUUAUUGUUGAAUGCAAUACUAAAAAAUGUACAAGUGACUACAGAAACAGUAACACAAGCUAUAAAAGAGGAGAGGUUUCCCUUGCCGGUAUAUAAUGGUAUUGAGAUUCUUUUAUUUAGUAAUGUAUUCUUUGUUAACUUGUGCUCUCAAGUUAUGCUGUCUUUGCUAAAAGUAACACUUAAUUCCCUUUUAACUGUUGGUUGAAAACUGAACCUAAUACAACUUGAUUCAGGGGCUAUGAUGCCAUAAAAGUUAUCCAAAUCUUUCUGCUGUGUACUUGACAUCAAAGGUAUAUUGAUCACAUAGGGCUUACAUUACUCCCUUGAAUUUCUGAUUUUUUUGUUCUGUACAUAGUGAUAUAAUUCAUCAAUGAGCAUGAAAAGGAUACAAUCAAACAUCUGAUUACUGCUACGUUAUCAUGCCAAAAGAGUUUCAUUCACAUGGAUUGAUACAAGUCACUGAGGAUCCAAAAGAUGAUCUGGUAUUAAUUGAUAGAAUGGCUCUAAGUUGGAAGAUCUGCAUAAGAUAUUUUGGCUAACCCAUAUUGUCUAUACGUUUUUUCAAUAUAUUUUGCAUAUAUUGUUGAUGAAAUUUGUGCCAUUGUGUAUAUUUGUUACGCCAGAUUUUAAUGUUCUAUGUUUUGUUCAUACUGAAAGACAAUUAUCUUCAAGAAAGACGAUUACUAUGAGGCAAGCCAAAGGAAAUAAAAAAUGAACUGCAGUAGGUCCAGCGUGAUGUUGAUCCUGAAGGCUAUUUGGUGUGUUGAAUCUUGGUUCUUUCAAAACAUUUUUAUGUCUACCUAAUCAACUUUGGUAAUCUAAUAGGAUGUUUACCUAAUCAAGUUUAGUAGUCUAUUAGUAUGAAGGCUCUUCCUUGUUGCUGGUUCGUUCGAUUGGAACUGAAUUUCAGAAAGCUCGAUGUUUGCAUAAUGACGUCGACCGUUGGGCCAAUUCCAACACAUUGAACAGUGAACAUAAGCCAUAUUUGCCGCACGGGCUCAGGGCGGCUGAAUCACAAUAGUGGCCUAAAGCUAAAACUAUUUAUGAGGCCUUCAACUUUUUCUGAUGAGAUUUCAUAUAUAUUUUAUCUGAUAUGCAUUUUUCUUGCUUUUUGGGUCAAAAGUUGAAUUAUAAUCAAAC